Molecule: transfer RNA, 59 nt
Filed under: Cautires sp. UPOL MM0061
Lineage: Eukaryota; Metazoa; Arthropoda; Insecta; Coleoptera; Lycidae
Description: tRNA-Glu
Source: RNAcentral
UAUAUAGUUUAAAAAAACAUUAUAUUUUCAAUAUAAAAUUAAAUAUCCAUUUUUAUAAA